This 2925-nucleotide ribosomal RNA is filed under the name Escherichia coli O103:H2. RNAcentral's name for it is "23S ribosomal RNA". It matches the Rfam family "Bacterial large subunit ribosomal RNA". Lineage: Bacteria; Pseudomonadati; Pseudomonadota; Gammaproteobacteria; Enterobacterales; Enterobacteriaceae. The record is from RNAcentral.
GGGUUGUGAGGUUAAGCGACUAAGCGUACACGGUGGAUGCCCUGGCAGUCAGAGGCGAUGAAGGACGUGCUAAUCUGCGAUAAGCGUCGGUAAGGUGAUAUGAACCGUUAUAACCGGCGAUUUCCGAAUGGGGAAACCCAGUGUGAUUCGUCACACUAUCAUUAACUGAAUCCAUAGGUUAAUGAGGCGAACCGGGGGAACUGAAACAUCUAAGUACCCCGAGGAAAAGAAAUCAACCGAGAUUCCCCCAGUAGCGGCGAGCGAACGGGGAGCAGCCCAGAGCCUGAAUCAGUGUGUGUGUUAGUGGAAGCGUCUGGAAAGGCGCGCGAUACAGGGUGACAGCCCCGUACACAAAAAUGCACAUACUGUGAGCUCGAUGAGUAGGGCGGGACACGUGGUAUCCUGUCUGAAUAUGGGGGGACCAUCCUCCAAGGCUAAAUACUCCUGACUGACCGAUAGUGAACCAGUACCGUGAGGGAAAGGCGAAAAGAACCCCGGCGAGGGGAGUGAAAAAGAACCUGAAACCGUGUACGUACAAGCAGUGGGAGCACGCUUAGGCGUGUGACUGCGUACCUUUUGUAUAAUGGGUCAGCGACUUAUAUUCUGUAGCAAGGUUAACCGAAUAGGGGAGCCGAAGGGAAACCGAGUCUUAACUGGGCGUUAAGUUGCAGGGUAUAGACCCGAAACCCGGUGAUCUAGCCAUGGGCAGGUUGAAGGUUGGGUAACACUAACUGGAGGACCGAACCGACUAAUGUUGAAAAAUUAGCGGAUGACUUGUGGCUGGGGGUGAAAGGCCAAUCAAACCGGGAGAUAGCUGGUUCUCCCCGAAAGCUAUUUAGGUAGCGCCUCGUGAAUUCAUCUCCGGGGGUAGAGCACUGUUUCGGCAAGGGGGUCAUCCCGACUUACCAACCCGAUGCAAACUGCGAAUACCGGAGAAUGUUAUCACGGGAGACACACGGCGGGUGCUAACGUCCGUCGUGAAGAGGGAAACAACCCAGACCGCCAGCUAAGGUCCCAAAGUCAUGGUUAAGUGGGAAACGAUGUGGGAAGGCCCAGACAGCCAGGAUGUUGGCUUAGAAGCAGCCAUCAUUUAAAGAAAGCGUAAUAGCUCACUGGUCGAGUCGGCCUGCGCGGAAGAUGUAACGGGGCUAAACCAUGCACCGAAGCUGCGGCAGCGACGCUGAUGCGUUGUUGGGUAGGGGAGCGUUCUGUAAGCCUGUGAAGGUGUGCUGUGAGGCAUGCUGGAGGUAUCAGAAGUGCGAAUGCUGACAUAAGUAACGAUAAAGCGGGUGAAAAGCCCGCUCGCCGGAAGACCAAGGGUUCCUGUCCAACGUUAAUCGGGGCAGGGUGAGUCGACCCCUAAGGCGAGGCCGAAAGGCGUAGUCGAUGGGAAACAGGUUAAUAUUCCUGUACUUGGUGUUACUGCGAAGGGGGGACGGAGAAGGCUAUGUUGGCCGGGCGACGGUUGUCCCGGUUUAAGCGUGUAGGCUGGUUUUCCAGGCAAAUCCGGAAAAUCAAGGCUGAGGCGUGAUGACGAGGCACUACGGUGCUGAAGCAACAAAUGCCCUGCUUCCAGGAAAAGCCUCUAAGCAUCAGGUAACAUCAAAUCGUACCCCAAACCGACACAGGUGGUCAGGUAGAGAAUACCAAGGCGCUUGAGAGAACUCGGGUGAAGGAACUAGGCAAAAUGGUGCCGUAACUUCGGGAGAAGGCACGCUGAUAUGUAGGUGAAGCGACUUGCUCGUGGAGCUGAAAUCAGUCGAAGAUACCAGCUGGCUGCAACUGUUUAUUAAAAACACAGCACUGUGCAAACACGAAAGUGGACGUAUACGGUGUGACGCCUGCCCGGUGCCGGAAGGUUAAUUGAUGGGGUCAGCGCAAGCGAAGCUCUUGAUCGAAGCCCCGGUAAACGGCGGCCGUAACUAUAACGGUCCUAAGGUAGCGAAAUUCCUUGUCGGGUAAGUUCCGACCUGCACGAAUGGCGUAAUGAUGGCCAGGCUGUCUCCACCCGAGACUCAGUGAAAUUGAACUCGCUGUGAAGAUGCAGUGUACCCGCGGCAAGACGGAAAGACCCCGUGAACCUUUACUAUAGCUUGACACUGAACAUUGAGCCUUGAUGUGUAGGAUAGGUGGGAGGCUUUGAAGUGUGGACGCCAGUCUGCAUGGAGCCGACCUUGAAAUACCACCCUUUAAUGUUUGAUGUUCUAACGUGGACCCGUAAUCCGGGUUGCGGACAGUGUCUGGUGGGUAGUUUGACUGGGGCGGUCUCCUCCUAAAGAGUAACGGAGGAGCACGAAGGUUGGCUAAUCCUGGUCGGACAUCAGGAGGUUAGUGCAAUGGCAUAAGCCAGCUUGACUGCGAGCGUGACGGCGCGAGCAGGUGCGAAAGCAGGUCAUAGUGAUCCGGUGGUUCUGAAUGGAAGGGCCAUCGCUCAACGGAUAAAAGGUACUCCGGGGAUAACAGGCUGAUACCGCCCAAGAGUUCAUAUCGACGGCGGUGUUUGGCACCUCGAUGUCGGCUCAUCACAUCCUGGGGCUGAAGUAGGUCCCAAGGGUAUGGCUGUUCGCCAUUUAAAGUGGUACGCGAGCUGGGUUUAGAACGUCGUGAGACAGUUCGGUCCCUAUCUGCCGUGGGCGCUGGAGAAUUGAGGGGGGCUGCUCCUAGUACGAGAGGACCGGAGUGGACGCAUCACUGGUGUUCGGGUUGUCAUGCCAAUGGCACUGCCCGGUAGCUAAAUGCGGAAGAGAUAAGUGCUGAAAGCAUCUAAGCACGAAACUUGCCCCGAGAUGAGUUCUCCCUGACUCCUUGAGAGUCCUGAAGGAACGUUGAAGACGACGACGUUGAUAGGCCGGGUGUGUAAGCGCAGCGAUGCGUUGAGCUAACCGGUACUAAUGAACCGUGAGGCUUAACCUUACAACGCCGAAG